Ctenocephalides felis (cat flea) is the source of this 1739-nucleotide RNA transcript. It is a transcript of the gene named probable ATP-dependent RNA helicase DDX17, with no coding region annotated. Lineage: Eukaryota; Metazoa; Arthropoda; Insecta; Siphonaptera; Pulicidae. The record is from RefSeq and is a predicted model, not a curated record. The transcript has 8 exons.
UAAAUUUAUAACUAAAUAAUUCUAAUUCAUUAUUUAUUAUUAGUUUAAAUAAAUAUUUGUGAUGUAAAUGUAAGUUGUUAAUGAAAGUUUAGUGAUAAAUUAACUGCAUAAUGACCAUGAGUAGAAGAGAUAGGAGCCGCGACCGAGACCGCAGAAGGGACCGCAGCAGAUCUCGUGAACGUUAUGGGGGUGCUGGUACUAGAAAAACCGGCAAUCCUGGUGCAUGCCUUCGAAAACCAAAGUGGGACCUUUCCCGGCUGGAGCCCUUCAAAAAAGAUUUUUACACUCCACAUCCAAAUGUCAAAAAUCGAUCAGAAUCAGAAAUAGAACAAUGGAGAUUAGAUAAAGAUAUUACAUUAAAAGGAAGGGACAUUCCUGCUCCUGUUUUAACUUUUGACGAAGCUAAUUUUCCUGAAUAUGUUAUGUCGGAAAUUGACAAAGUUGGAUUUGAUAAACCAACAGCUAUACAAGCCCAAGGAUGGCCAAUUGCUUUGAGUGGCCGGGACAUGGUAGGAAUAGCUAAAACAGGAUCCGGCAAAACUUUAUCAUAUACUUUACCAGCAAUAGUGCACAUAAACCAUCAACCAAAAUUACAAAGAGGAGAUGGACCAAUUGCUUUAAUUUUGGCUCCUACAAGAGAAUUGGCACAACAAAUCCAACAAGUUGCAACAGAUUUUGGUAGAAGUUCUCACAUAAGAAACACUUGUAUAUUUGGGGGGGCUCCUAAGGGACCUCAGGCUGCUGAUUUAAUGGAUGGGGUUGAAAUUGUCAUCGCCACUCCUGGCCGACUCUUGGAUUUUUUGGAAACCAAUCGUACUAACCUGAAAAGAUGCACUUACCUUGUACUAGACGAAGCCGACAGAAUGUUGGACAUGGGCUUUGAGCCUCAAAUUCGUAAAAUUAUUGAACAAAUAAGGCCAGACCGACAAACUCUCAUGUGGAGUGCUACUUGGCCUAAGGAAGUAAUGAAUUUGGCCCAAGAGUUCCUCAGAGACUACACACAAAUCAACGUUGGUUCUUUGCAACUGGCAGCUAACCAUAAUAUAUUGCAAAUUAUUGAUGUUUGUCAGGAAUAUGAAAAGGAAACUAAACUUAGUACUUUACUUAAGGAGAUCAUGGCUGAGAAAGAGAAUAAGACUAUAAUUUUUAUUGAGACUAAAAGAAGGGUUGAUGAUAUUACGAGGAAAAUGAAACGUGACGGAUGGCCCGCUGUGUGUAUACAUGGUGAUAAGUCACAAAAUGAAAGGGAUUGGGUAUUACAAGACUUUAGAUCUGGCAAAGCACCUGUGUUAGUGGCAACUGAUGUUGCAGCUCGAGGAUUAGAGGCACAACCUCGGGCGAGCUAUUUGAAUCGCAUUGACCAAAUGAGAAACGAAUUUUAUAUAAGCAUAAGUGUGAGGCACCGCCAAUUGUCUGUGUCAGUCAGUCAGUAGUUGUUAAAAGUGGCUCCUACUACUGCCUCUUCUUCUUCCGUCUACAAGUGACUGGAAUCGUGUACGUGUACGUGUGCCCCCUUAUGCUAGACUGAAUAAAAUUUGUCGAAUGCAUUUUGGUCAAAAAGAUUCGUUCGCUGCCUCUGUGUGCCUCGACAGAACGGAUAAUGUUUGUCUGUGCAGUGUGCACGACUACUGCUAACUGUCGUGCCCCCAUGCCAUCAUGUGGAAGAUGUUAAAUUUGUGAUAAACUUUGACUAUCCAAACAACUCGGAGGAUUACGUUCAUCGUAUAGGCAGAACAGGA